Molecule: long non-coding RNA, 219 nt
Filed under: Elaeis guineensis (African oil palm)
Lineage: Eukaryota; Viridiplantae; Streptophyta; Magnoliopsida; Arecales; Arecaceae
Description: long non-coding RNA (EGUI_LNC049526)
Source: RNAcentral
AUUGGCUUGUAGGACAUAUUUCUUUCAAUCUCCCACUUACACUAAAGUCAAUCACUGUUAUAUUUUAUCCCCACACAAUCGAGGUGGCGAUCGAACUGCUGCUGUGGUAGAGCCUUAGUGAACGAGUCUGUUAUAUUGUUCUUUGUUUCUACUCGUUCAAUGACAACAUCUUAUCUUUCGAUUAUUUCACGAAUAAGAUGGAAGCAUCUUAGAAUGUGC